AGUGGGGAAUAUUGCACAAUGGGGGAAACCCUGAUGCAGCCAUGCCGCGUGUGUGAAGAAGGCCUUCGGGUUGUAAAGCACUUUCAGUAGGGAGGAAAGGGUGAGUCUUAAUACGGCUUAUCUGUGACGUUACCUACAGAAGAAGGACCGGCUAACUCCGUGCCAGCAGCCGCGGUAAUACGGAGGGUCCGAGCGUUAAUCGGAAUUACUGGGCGUAAAGCGUGCGCAGGCGGUUUGUUAAGCGAGAUGUGAAAGCCCUGGGCUCAACCUAGGAAUAGCAUUUCGAACUGACAAACUAGAGUCUUGUAGAGGGGGGUAGAAUUCCAGGUGUAGCGGUGAAAUGCGUAGAGAUCUGGAGGAAUACCGGUGGCGAAGGCGGCCCCCUGGACAAAGACUGACGCUCAUGCACGAAAGCGUGGGGAGCAAA
This 427-nucleotide ribosomal RNA is filed under the name Shewanella xiamenensis. RNAcentral describes it as "bacterial SSU rRNA". It matches the Rfam family "Bacterial small subunit ribosomal RNA", at positions 353 to 772 of the family's 1533-position model. The record is from RNAcentral. Lineage: Bacteria; Pseudomonadati; Pseudomonadota; Gammaproteobacteria; Alteromonadales; Shewanellaceae.